AAGGAUCAUUACCGAGUUCAUGCCCUUACGGGUAGAUCUCCCACCCUUUGUAUACUAUACCUUUGUUGCUUUGGCGGGCCGCCUAGCUACUGGCUUCGGCUGGUAUGUGCCCGCCAGAGGACCCAAAACCCUGAAUUAUUAGUGUCGUCUGAGUAAAAUAUUUAAUAAUCAAAACUUUCAACAACGGAUCUCUUGGCUCUG
RNAcentral lists this unclassified non-coding RNA (201 nucleotides) under uncultured fungus. Its description in RNAcentral is "partial contains 18S rRNA, ITS1, 5.8S rRNA, ITS2 and 28S rRNA". Lineage: Eukaryota; Fungi. The record is from RNAcentral.